This 434-nucleotide ribosomal RNA is filed under the name uncultured archaeon. Its description in RNAcentral is "bacterial SSU rRNA". It matches the Rfam family "Archaeal small subunit ribosomal RNA", at positions 281 to 715 of the family's 1478-position model. The record is from RNAcentral.
AGCAAGAGCCCGGAGAUGGAUUCUGAGACAUGAAUCCAGGCCCUACGGGGCGCAGCAGGCGCGAAAACUUUACAAUGCGGGAAACCGUGAUAAGGGGACACCGAGUGCUAGCAUCAUAUGCUAGCUGUCCAGGUGUGUAAAAUACACCUGUUAGCAAGGGCCGGGCAAGACCGGUGCCAGCCGCCGCGGUAACACCGGCGGCCCGAGUGGUGAUCGUGAUUAUUGGGUCUAAAGGGUCCGUAGCCGGUUUGGUCAGUCCUCCGGGAAAUCUGAUAGCUCAACUAUUAGGCUUUCGGGGGAUACUGCCAGACUUGGAACCGGGAGAGGUAAGAGGUACUACAGGGGUAGGAGUGAAAUCUUGUAAUCCCUGUGGGACCACCUGUGGCGAAGGCGUCUUACCAGAACGGGUUCGACGGUGAGGGACGAAAGCUGGG